AGCGAACGCUGGCGGCAGGCCUAACACAUGCAAGUCGAACGAAGUCUUCAGACUUAGUGGCGGACGGGUGAGUAACACGUUGGCACGUGCCUUUCGGUUCGGAAUAACUCAGGGAAACUUGUGCUAAUACCGAAUGUGCCCUUCGGGGGAAAGAUUUAUCGCCUUUAGAGCGGCCCGCGUCUGAUUAGCUAGUUGGGGAGGUAAAGGCUCACCAAGGCGACGAUCAGUAGCUGGUCUGAGAGGAUGAUCAGCCACAUUGGGACUGAGAAACGGCCCAAACUCCUACGGGAGGCAGCAGUGGGGAAUCUUGCGCAAUGGGCGAAAGCCUGACGCAGCCAUGCCGCGUGAAUGAUGAAGGUCUUAGGAUUGUAAAAUUCUUUCACCGGGGACGAUAAUGACGGUACCCGGAGAAGAAGCCCCGGCUAACUUCGUGCCAGCCGCCGCCGUAA
RNAcentral lists this ribosomal RNA (449 nucleotides) under uncultured bacterium. RNAcentral's name for it is "partial 16S ribosomal RNA". It matches the Rfam family "Bacterial small subunit ribosomal RNA", at positions 29 to 523 of the family's 1533-position model. The record is from RNAcentral.